Molecule: long non-coding RNA, 6941 nt
Organism: Tympanuchus pallidicinctus (lesser prairie-chicken)
Lineage: Eukaryota; Metazoa; Chordata; Aves; Galliformes; Phasianidae
Exons: 3
Source: RefSeq, a predicted model, not a curated record
CGGAGGAGCGGGAGGAGAAGGCGCGGGAGAAGAGAGAGCGGAGACCCCGUCGCCUACCCCUCCGAGCCCAGCCCGCGGCAGCGAGCGGCGGCGCGGGGCAGCGGCUGCAGCUGGGGGAUGCGCAGCGCCGGCCACAACUUCCCCGCCGCCUGCACGGGGAGGGUUCAGGUUGCAGCGGGAACGGGCUUGGGAGCCGGGCGUGCCCGCACCGCCGGGCCGAGAGUACCCGCGUGCGGCACGGAGGAGAAGGCGGAGAACGGAGGUGGCGGCUCGGACGGAGCGCGGGAGCGGCGCGGGGACCUGUUGACCGAGCGAGGCGAGCCCGUGUCGGAGCGGGACCUCGAACCGCGGGCGGCCCGCCGCCGAGCCGAGCCGGGAGCGGCGGGCGGCGAGGGGUUCGAUCGGCGCGAGGCGGGGAGGAGGCGCGGGGCCGGAGAGCUCCAGGUGCCACGGUCACUCUGCGCACAGGGCGGGCGGCCGUGUCCGUGCGGCCAUGUGCUCCGUGCGGGGCGCGGAUAAACAGGCGGGUGUGUGCGGCACAGGUACGUUCGUACGAUUUGAUUUGUAUAUAAUAGAGCGUGUCAAGCUUCUCGAGGUAACUGCAGUGCAGAAGUAAUGACUUUAUUACCUCUGAAACGUUCUGCAGUUCGCAUUUAACAGUGCUCUGAAUAAUUACAAGUCAUUAUGCAACCGUGCGCUCUCCGAAGCCCACGUACGGUGGGAUGCCUGGCCAGGGCCGGUUCUGAUAAAUAACAGGCAGCGUCCCAUCGGUUCUCUGUAAAAGCUCCUAGCGAAUUAAUCACUUAGUUACACCUCAGCCUGCCGGCUCGCCGCACCGCGGCUGAGAUUCCAGCGGUGACUGCCCCGGCCGCACUGUGAGACGUACUCGACAGCUGAUUGUGCGGAUGCUCUCGGGAACGGCUGCGAGCGAGUCCCGCCGGCAGCGUGCCCUCAGUGCCGGCACGGAGCAACAGCUCGGGCGAAGCGGAGCCGUACCUCAGCGGGGCGCUCCCGCCGGCCGGCCGGGCGCUGCUGUCGGCACUGAUCACAAUAACGCGCUCUGCCCGCCGCCCCCCGCGCCGCUCUGUCAUGUGACGAGAGGGCGACAACAGACCGGGAAACGAGGCGUCGGGAGGCGUUCUUAGAGCGCCGUAUCCACGGGCUUUAUUAAAGCAGGUGGGUUUUUAUUUUGCUGCGCUUUAGUGGAAGGAAGGAGGCUGUUUAACGAGCAGCCGUGGACACGAAUAACUGUAUUUACAAGCCCUAACGCGGCUUUUGCCAGGCGGUAAAUCCUGAGCCGCGACCAUUAUUCGCCGUAGCCCGGGGCGCGCAGCCCGGUCCGUGCCCCAUAACGAUGCAGCGCGGCUCUCCUCGAGCCCUUCGGUGUACUCCGGUGUCAGCUCGCGGCCAGCAGUGUUUUGAAUGGGGGACUUUUCUCGGCGCUUCCUGAGGUAUGGUUCUGUCUCUGAUCUCCGCCUUUAAUGGCCGAGCCCUGGUUUAUGCUUUAUAACGUGUUGACAAGUUUUCUAACAGACUUUCUGAAAUAACGCACAUAUAUUCACGUCGGUUACAAACUCUACAGUAUUUUUAGCGCCGAGUAGAUCUAUAUCCUAAUGCACUGAGAGAGAGUGUAAAUCAUGGAGGAUUUCAUAGCCCCUUCAGUAGUUUCUGUAUGAAGUACGAGCAGCGUGGCCUCCAGACGUAACCUUUUAGAAAAAAAGACAGCUCUUUUAUUUUAUGGUGUAAAGUGCUUUUAGCUUCAGGGCUCUGAACGUGAACGCGGUCAACAAACAGCUCCUGCGAGGGGCUUAGCUGCGGUCCGGCCCCUGCGCUUGUUGCUGCGCGGCCGUCGGGCGGCUCACGGGGCCCCCUCCCCCCCCCCCCCCCCCCCCUCCGCUCCGCCUGGGCACAGCCGCGCACGCCUCGCCCCGGGGAGGGGUUGCGGGGCUCCCGGCGCGGCCGGACAGGCAGCGGUGGCGGGGGUCCAGCGGCAGCGGCCCCCGGGAAAGGAGGAGCUGGGGGGGCCUCAGGCGCUGCCCUUCCUACAGCAUCCUCUGUACGCCGCCCUGGCACGUGGCGCGUGGUCAGUCCGCACUGUACCUACUGCAUAAAGUGACGGCACUGCUCAGUAACGCUCGUAGACGCAGCACUUAAACACAGCUAAAAUUUUUCAAAGACUGCUAGUUGUGGAAAUGCGGCAGGCAAGAGGACGAGUGGGAACAAAACUGGGCAAGCGCUAAAGACAGCCCAGCAAAAGGGCUGCAGGACUGGCGCGCACUCACGCGUCACCUCCCUCUCAGCCACGGCCCUCCCCUGCCGUGCCAUCCUGCCGCUGUGCCUCACCCCAGCCAGAUCAUCCACUCCUUGGUAUGGACUCCUGGCUCCAGAGCUCCAGAGCAGUCUUGGGAAAAUGUGCCUGAUUGCCCUAGCCAUGUGCAGGCAAGCCCAGAGGUUGGCGCUGGAGCCUGAGCCAUAGGGUUGUCACAUUCACCUGGGAGUCCAGCCUCAGGAAGAGGCUGCCCACAUGCUGCAGCCCCUCAGCUGGCUCCCAUCCUGCCCCUUGCAGACCAGAGCCCCAGGAUGCCUGCCGAGAAUGUCUGUGUGCCUCCGGUGCCUCAGCCCUGGAAACGGCAGCAUGGUCCUUCCUUCCAGCUGAGCCUGGAGGCUGCUCUAUAAAGGGACUGCCUCAAAUGAGGAAGUGUGGUCUGCCUCCCUCUCACAGACAGGCACAUGGUCCCUGUGUGGCGCUGAGGCCUAGAGGUACAGAGGAGCGUGAUGCAGCAUGUGCUGCAUGCUGCCAUCCCUGUCUGUCUGCUGAUUUAGCUGCAGACUUGGUAGCAGGUGAGUUCAGGAACUUAGGUGGGCAAAUGUUCCCACUUCAGUGCUCCAACUGUCAUUCAUUCAUGGCAGCGUUCUCACAUGUCAAAAUGGAACAUUAGAACCAAACACAAAUUCCAAAACAAUGCCAGUCCUCCUGAGCCACGUGUUACAUAACGGCCAACAUCGCAGGCACCCUCCUCACCCAGUGAUAGCCUCAAUCAGGCAGAGGCACCACGGGUGGAACUCUUAUCGCACCAAGCUGACUCCCGACGAAUGUGCAGAGGACUCACGUGUCCUAGAAAUGGCUUGUGCAUUGGUACUGCAGGGCGAGCAACAUGGGCACACUGCUUUCGGUUUUCUCCUUUUUUGUUGCUGUUUUUGUUUUGUUUUUUACUAAGGGCUCAAAAUAAGCUCUGAUCCUGCAAGCACUUACUAGCAAGCACUGCACACACAGCAGCGAGUCUGUGCAGGAUCACACACAUAUGGGCAUCAGGUGACCAAAAGAUUUUGUUAUGGGCUGCUCUAGACAGGAUCCAGAACAAGGUGCUGAACUUGAGGAGAGUUUUUCCAGAGGUUACAGCAAGGUGUGGGUUGUCAGCCUGCUCCUGCUUGCACAGCUCUGGGCACAGUGGAGCCAUGAACCUUGACUGGGCGGUCUAGGGAUGGCUGUAAAAUGAAUGGCACAAAGCACUCGGGAUGUAGACUCAUUUGCAAACCCCUCCUCUAAGUGUACACAUCCUCGUGGGUAGGCAGGCGGGGAGGCACUAGUUAUAAAGGAUGCCAGUAACAGCUCACUUUUAAUCUCAUGUUUCAUUUUGGCCAAAGUCUGGUUUUAGUUUUCACUACUCCAGAAGUUAUUUUACUAUUACUUAUUUUGUAUUUUAUUUAUGGUCUCCUCUAUUUUUGUACGUAAGCAUGUAACACGCCCCUGACAACUUGUAUCCUAAGCUUCUAGCCAAGGCAAUUUAAGCAUGGUGGGUUUAGAAUCGAUGUAUGGUGUGAAUCCAUACGAUCUUAAUUAUAGCAGUAUAGCAGCCACGGUACGAGGGAAGUAGCAGGGCUUUCAUUACUAAAGAGGCACAGUAUUUAAGGUCUGUCAGUGUUCCUGUUACAAUCCCCAUCUUGAAGAGGUUAUAACUUGGGCUGUGUAAAUUUGAUUGAGCUGAAACUUGGGACUCAAACUGCCAGUCCAAAUAGGGAAUUACCUUAUGAAUAAUUGGCUAACCCGCUGCUUGAUUCAGAGGCCUUUAUAAAAUGAUUUUAAUGGGUUCUAAUGUUUUUUUCUUUUACUGACAUCUAGGGUAUGAAUGUGGUACUUCUAGCUCUUCUGAAGCUCCAUAUUGAACAGCACAUAUAUAGGUACAUGCAUUAAAACUAUACAGCAACACAAGAGUUCAUGGGGCACAUGUGUCACUCUUACAGAUCCAUGUGUGGACAUAUGCAGACCGAGACCAUGUAGAAGAAGUGUGACAAUCUAUCUCAGAAUAUGUGAGAUAAGCAGAAUAGAAAUGCCUCAGACAGAAGGGAGCUAAAGCACAUCCAUCGUGUCUGCUGUGUCCCUCAGUCCCAUGGUGACCCGCUGUCAGACCUGCUCACACCAUGCUGCUGGGAAAGGUUCAGCAAAGAAGAAAUACACGUGCUGUCUAGAACGUGGGGCCAUUUGUGUGAGGCUCCAUCUAGAUGGAAAACAAAGAACUGUUGAGAUAGCAGAGAUCUUCUGCUAUCUUAAAAACAAGAACGGCUUUGCUGUGGGGUUUUUUCUUUGCCAUAUUCAUCCUGUGCAACUCCGUGUGCAGAAUUUCGACUUAAUUGAAAUAUUUUAAUGCAACUCUCUGUAGUCAAAUUGAUAUAGUGUUAUACAGCCCAAAGCUGCACAGAAAGAUGCCGUGCUGAGGCAUAGCGAGAGUGAUGGUGAAUAAAGCAUGAUACAAGCACACUUCUUUCAGCAGUUUGGAUACUUUUGCUACCAUUUGUUAUUGUCAGCACAUAUAAUUUUUACAGUACGGUAUGAAUUCUGACUGUAGCGAGAAGAAUGCCUUCCACUGCCAGUAUGAAUAAGAUUUCAUUCAUUAGAAUAACGUGCAAGCGUAUCGUAUAGUAUUAGCACAGAAAGCUGAUGUGCAUUAAGUCUGAAUGCUGGGAGUUAUUGUGCUAAUGCUAUUGUUUGGUGAGCAACUAUUUCCCGGCAGUGAAAAAAAAAAGCAAAAAAAAAAAAAAAAGCAAGGGAAAUUAAAUACAUAAAUCAAAAAUAUGCGCAAUGUUUGAUAUUACCAUACUGAAAUUAAUGUAUUCAUAAUUUAAACUUUACCUUGCUCUAUUGUAUUAAGUUUCUGCAUACCUAUAGAGAAACAAAUGUAAACACAAAGAGAGCGACCCAUAGCCUGUGUGCUGAAACAAGUCUCUCAUUGCAGUGCUUGUUGCUGUGGGUAAAUGCAAGGGAAAUGCAGACUGUGUCGCGUUGCCAGGCGUACAGGCUGUUUGCUACCUGUGUCAGUGAGAAGUUGGGUCUGAACGCUGCAGUAGUGACGCAUCUGCUGCGACCACGCUCUCCUCGACACCCCAACAACGUCGUGCACUGCAAUCGCACUCACGUUUACACCCCAGCAACGUGGGGCACUGUGUUCCCACACAGCGAUGUGUUCAGGGGAUGAGGAGCUGCGCAGCUCCUGGCACUGCACUUCUGCUGCCCAGAGCUGAAGGUGUGCGAUGCAUAGGAUGGGCACACAGCUGCCGCCGCUCCUGCGAGAAAGGUCAAAAGUGCCUGGGAGCCGAGGUGUGCCUGAAACAGCCGUUGUACUUAAAGCCAGUAAACACGAAACUCUUCUCUAUUGAGACCCAAUUAGCUUUUCUAUUCAAAGCCGUGCUGCACUUCUGCACGUUGCUUACGAGUGGGACUGAAAAACACACGCACCAUGACACUACACUUUUAAAGUGUUUAUUGACUGCCUUUCCCGUUCUCCCAGGAUUGCCUCCUGCUUAGAUGUGAGUUUUCGGUGAAUAUGACCUGACUAAUUGUUUUCCCCUGCCAUGAUCACUACGUUUCUCAAGCAGUUUGCACCUAUUCACGGACCUCACAUCUUCAGCCUUGGAUCUUAAAGAAACUGAUAACUGCGCUUCCAGAAAACUGCUCGGUAAAUACAUUUCCUGCCCCGGGCUUUACAAGGACCGCUCUUGUCUCAGAGCCACCGUUGAAGUAAUCAGGGAGAACGGCGGGAGGCUCCAUAAAUAUGUAAAUUGUCGCCAGAUAACUGGUUUCGCUGGUUCCGCCUUGGGACUCCCGCCGGGCGGCUCCGCGGGGAGAUCCGUCGCCCCCGGCCCCGCCCUCCACGCUCCGAGAGCUCCUUCCCCUCUCCUUCCCCUCUCCUCUCCUUCCCUUCUCCUCUCCUUCCCUUCUCCUUUCCUUCUCCUCUCCUUCCCCUCUCUUUCCCCUCUCCUUCCCCUCUCCCCGCCGCUCUCCGGUGCGUGCCUGCGCCUUUCAGCUCUUUGGCAGCGUCCCGAAGGAGCUCCGCGUCUCGUCGCUGCUGGGGCAAAGCACGGGAGGCUGAGCCACACUCGGGCCCUUUCCUUUCUAACUCGGAAUCGGAAGGAUUAAAAGCGGCCACUGGCUUCCAAGUUAAAAAAUAUGUUGAAGUGAAAGUUCAAUUCUUAGUUAAACACUCACUCCUUAGUGGAUUCUGAUCUGACUGCUGUUAGACCAACAUCGGUGUUGCACUGACGCUUUAAUUAAUAAAAACGGUUGGAGUCCUCUCUGUCAUCUCAUUGUUUACCAGCCUCCGCACAAACUUUGAAGUCCCUGUCUAAAUAGGAGACCGAGAAGGAGAACAUCAGCCGCCAAAGUUACUUCGAAGCCAGAGAAGCGAGGCGGCUGAUACUGUGGGCACUGGAUGGGCUCCAUCCCUCCGCGAUCGCCGCGGCUCCCCGCCGUGGAAGCUGCCUGGCAGCCCGCGCUGGGACGGCGCUGCACUCACGGAACGCGGAGGGCUGGAGGGGUGAGGAGCUGCCGCUGCCCCGGGAUUUCCUCCUGCCCGCGGAGCCGGGCCUCACUGGGAAGGAGAUGGAGGCUGCCGGAUGGACAAAUCCACCUGUGGAUUUGUGGGUAGAUCCACCUCCGGGAGAGAUGG